CAGUAGCCACGGUAAUACGUAUGUCACAAGCGUUAUCCGGAUCUAUUGGGCGUAAAGCGCGUCUAGGUGGUUAUGUAAGUCUGAUGUGAAAAUGCAGGGCUCAACUCUGUAUUGCGUUGGAACCUGUGUAACUAGAGUACUGGAGAGGUAAGCGGAACUACAAGUGUAGAGGUGAAAUUCGUAGAUAUUUGUAGGAAUGCCGAUGGGGAAGCCAGCUUACUGGACAGAUACUGACGCUGAAGCGCGAAAGCGUGGGUAGCAAACAGGAUUAGAUACCCGCGUAGUCCCUGUCUCUUAUACA
Molecule: ribosomal RNA, 301 nt
Filed under: uncultured bacterium
Lineage: Bacteria
Description: partial 16S ribosomal RNA
Rfam family: Bacterial small subunit ribosomal RNA
Source: RNAcentral